This is a long non-coding RNA of Neofelis nebulosa (Clouded leopard), 3082 nucleotides long. RefSeq lists it as uncharacterized. NCBI's taxonomy places the organism in Eukaryota, Metazoa, Chordata, Mammalia, Carnivora, Felidae. The record is from RefSeq and is a predicted model, not a curated record. The transcript is spliced from 2 exons.
GGCAGCAUUUUAACCCAAGAGGUUGGAGGGAGGGAUCGGAAGCGAGGCUUCCAGAGAACCUGUUUUUGGUGGCAGAAAAAGCCGCAUGUCCACUAGACAGAAUGAAAGCAUGUGAGGCUUUCAAUUACAAAUCAUCCCGGCAUUGGUUCAAAGCGCCCCAACAGCCCCUGGAGCCCUGCGGCUGGGCAGAGCGGUCCACGUGGCUUUUUCAAUCUCCAGGGUGUGACAACCUCGCUGUGGCCUUGGCAGUGAUGGAGGAGGGGCGCUGGGAACACGCUGGAAGACAGGCAUCGAACUGAAAUCAAAUUUACCAGCACACGUAUUCUUGGGUCUUUGCGCAGGUAUGUUGACAGAGCGCUGAGCUGGCAGUGGGGUGGGGAGCGCUCCCUGACGCCAGGCCCUAUGUGCCAGUCCCGCACGAAUCAUUUGGACGUUGGGGGAGGCAGAGAAAAGUAAGUCAUUAUUCCUGAGUUCCAAGGCAGUGGGCGAAGCAAACACUAGAGGAAGAUAAUGUGCUACAAUACAGGCUUUGCUCAGAUCCUCCAGAACAUUCCUCAGAGCAGAGAGGUAGGUGUAGUGGCCCAGCUGCGUGAAACUGGUUCCUGCAGGGCAGUGGGAGAACCAGGCAGGAGGACUGACCUCCGAGUCCUGGGGAGAAAGCUCAGGAAGUGAUGGGAGUCUGCAGUUUAGCGCCCAGGAGUCGAUGGAAUCUGAUGGAAACAAAGGGUCUGUGGGAAGGGCGGGGCGUGAAGGGGUGGUGGGUGUCUGAAGGGGUGGUGGGAUCCGGGAAAGGCGGAUGGGAGGAGGUAGACCCUGAAACUACCCCACAGCACUGAAGCAGAGGCUGUGGUCUUUCAUUGUGAAACGUGCGGCUGAUGGCGGGAGGGAAGAACAUUCCCUGAGAAGGCACGGAGGGCCUGAGAGCUGGGAGAGGGAGUGUUGGCUCCCGGCUGCAGGUGCCAGGCCCAGGGUCCCAAUCUGCUCCAGCGCUCCACAGCUGGCCGUGGCCGGUGCCCAGAUGUUUUGAGUAGAAAGAAACACUUUUCAGGCAACCUGAAGAAGUCCCAGGAAAUCUAUCACUGGAAGAAAAUCUCCUUCUAGGGUUUUGAUGUAGGUGGAGGGAAUGCAGGGUGGAGUUCAAGCUCAUGUUUGCACUGAAAGGAAUGAAACGGUACAUGGCGUCCUUUCAGACGUGGCUCGACUGUGUUUGGGAAUGCCUUGGGCUCUAGGGUAUAGGGGAGGGUAAAAUUAUCUCACUGUAAUUUGAGAAAAAGCGUCUAUUUUCUUAUUCCUUGAAGAAGUAAAAAUAAGGCGUGUGUGUGUGUGCGUGCGCGCGCACGCUCGUGAACAGCGGGGGUGCUGGCUGGGCUACCCGAGGACAGGACAUCUGAUAAAAGGCUCUUGUUCUAUGAGUUAUUCAGUCAGUUGCUUUUGUCAAGUCUUUCCAAGUCAACAUUUCCAAGCCUCACAGCAAGGACACCACCAGGGCUGUAGGAAAAGACAUGCCAUCUUUCCCGGUUCUGUUCUCCUAGCGCUCUCUUCUCCCCUCUGUGAUGUCUUCUUAGGAGGGAAGAAAUUGGUCAAAGGCUGGAAGGUUUAGGACACUGCAUCAGGACCCCCUGUGCUCCCCUAAACUCCAUCUCUGACAGUUUAUUUUCCAAACUUAAAAGGUUUUGUGGACUUACUAGAAGCCAGGUGUUCCCAAGAAUAGAAAACAUGUCGUCUGAAAGUCCCCAAGUGCCCAGGGCUGGCAGGACAUGGUCGUAGAGGGUCUUGUCUGGCUGUUGAAUGUAUGCUCGUGAUGCCUGGGAGGAAUCCAGGACGUUGGGAAUGUGGCCGGAAUAUGCAGCAGACACACAGAAUGAGGGAGUUUGACUCCACUGUCUUCGGGCCCUGGAGACAAGUCUGGCUCUGGGAAUGCCAGGAUCAUGGUGGGAGGCGUUCGGUGCCAGAAAACCUAGACAGGGACAGACCAGAGAGGUGUGGGUCCCCUGGGGAUUGAGCAUGUUUCAGUGAAGCCCCAGUUCACUCCUCAAAGUCUGGGGGUGGAGAAAAUUCCUCCAAUCUCACCCUUCCCUUUUAAUUUCCUCUCUGGGCCUCAUUUUCCUUGUCUGAUGAAGAGAGUGAGCUGGAUAAUCUCUAAGGUCUUUUCAGCUCGAACCUCCUGGGUAGGGCUGGCUACAUAAUUUCUUGGGCCCAAGGCAAAAUGAAAAUGCAAGGUCCUUGUUCGAAAAUCAGGGGAAAAGGACUCUUCAAGGUCUUAAAAAUAUAAAGCAUUUCCGUUCUCCUUUGUUCUCUCGAAUAGUCAUGAUGUUUUUCAUUUACUAUUUAAUGUUACUCUAAGUAAAGACCAAUUAAAACUUAUAUUAUUAGCGUGAAUUUUACCAUUCAUCUUUAUAUUGUGUAAUGGCAGUUAUAAAUUAUAAACUGUAAGAGCAUUGAAAUUAUAGGCAAAAUCACGCAAUUCAUGUUUUGUAGCUUGUGCAUGCACAUAUAUUAUUUUGUUUUCAGCAGAACAGCAGAAGCACUGCACACAACUAACUCAGAUGUUUGCACUUAACUUUUUAAAAAAAUUUUUUGAAAUGUUUUGAGAGAGAGAGAGAGAGAGAGGGUGAGCCAGGGGAGGGGUAGAGAGAGGGAAACAGAAUCUGAAGCAGGCUUCAGGUUGUAAGCACAGAGGCUGAUGUGGGGCUCGAACUCACAAACCUUGAGAUCAUGAACUGAGCUGAAAUCCAAGGCCUAACCGACUGAGCCACCCAGGUGCCCAUUCACUAUACUUCUUGAUAUGUGCACAUUGUCCUCACGCUCUCUACCUUUGGCUUUCUGAUGAGUAAGGAGGGCAUAAGAGGAAGAGGAACAGGGGAGGACUCAUUUUUUCCCUUUCCUUCCAUGUUGCUAUUUUCAGCCUAAGUGGUUGAUUAAGGGCAGGGAAGUAACAUGAGUAAGAGAGCAAAAAGCUGAUUCAGAAAAAUAUCACCUGUUUCUAUAAAAAGUAACAAAAAAGGAACCAUCACAGAAUCUUAGAAUAUACAAAGAUGUUACAAGAAAAAAAAAAAAAAAGGAAAGGAAAAGUAAAAACAAA